RNAcentral lists this ribosomal RNA (222 nucleotides) under uncultured bacterium. Its description in RNAcentral is "partial 16S ribosomal RNA". The record is from RNAcentral.
UAGUUUGAUCCUGGCUCAGGAAAGUCGUAACAAGGUAACCGUAAGUCGUAACAAGGUAACCGUAAGUCGUAACAGGGUAACUAUAGAGUUUAAUCAUGGUUCAGGAAAGUCGUAACAAGGUAACCGUAGAGUUUGAUCCUGGCUCAGGAAAGUCGUAACAAGGUAACCGUAAGUCGUAACAAGGUAACCGUUAGAGUUUGAUCAUGGCUCAGCCUUUGACUU